This 446-nucleotide ribosomal RNA is filed under the name uncultured bacterium. RNAcentral's name for it is "bacterial SSU rRNA". It matches the Rfam family "Bacterial small subunit ribosomal RNA", at positions 58 to 518 of the family's 1533-position model. The record is from RNAcentral.
CAAGUCGAACGGAGAAUGUUGAGUUACUUAGACAUUCUUAGUGGCGGACGGGUGAGUAACACGUGAGCAACCUGCCUUUGAGAGAGGGAUAGCUUCUGGAAACGGAUGGUAAUACCUCAUAACGUAGUAAUACCGCAUGGUGAUACUACCAAAGAUUUAUCACUCAAAGAUGGGCUCGCGUCUGAUUAGCUAGAUGGUGAGGUAACGGCCCACCAUGGCGACGAUCAGUAGCCGGACUGAGAGGUUGAACGGCCACAUUGGGACUGAGACACGGCCCAGACUCCUACGGGAGGCAGCAGUGGGGAAUAUUGCACAAUGGGGGAAACCCUGAAUGCAGCGAUGCCGCGUGGAGGAAGAAGGUUUUCGGAUUGUAAACUCCUGUCUUAAAGGACGAUAAUGACGGUACUUUAGGAGGAAGCUCCGGCUAACUACGUGCCAGCCGCAGC